GGGGCUGCUUUGGUUUUGACAGCAAGCGUAUGGCGAGGUAAGCAUGCCGGUCCAGGCAUCACACACCGUAAUCUGGGAUGCAAAACAUCAAAUGGCGAAACAACUUUCGCGCUUGCAGCUUAAUCCUUUGAUAAAGGGUUGGCAUUAACGCGGUACCAGGUACUGCGUCAGGCCGUUCUGCCGGUUGGCUGCCCUACCCGGCCGGAUCACAGGACGCAUCAUCUGCAGGGAUAGUUGCAACAUUGUUCCGUUGCUGCAACGAAAAACAGGAACUAAGGUAUGGCUCGGCUUCUGUUUGCCAGGCCCUGCCCUACAAUCAAUAAACAGAUAAGCAUGUAGAAAGCACCGUUAUUCCUUGUUUGGACGAGGGUUCGAAUCCCUCCAGCUCCACCU
This 393-nucleotide transfer-messenger RNA is filed under the name Bacteroidota bacterium. Its description in RNAcentral is "Bacteroidetes bacterium (sediment metagenome) transfer-messenger RNA". It matches the Rfam family "transfer-messenger RNA". From Rfam's summary of the family: Bacterial tmRNA, also known as 10Sa RNA or SsrA, is named for its dual tRNA and mRNA-like properties. The record is from RNAcentral. Lineage: Bacteria; Pseudomonadati; Bacteroidota.